UCUCCGUUGGUGAACCAGCGGAGGGAUCAUUACCGAGUUUACAACUCCCAAACCCCUGUGAACAUACCUAUCGUUGCCUCGGCGGUGCCCGCUCCGGCGGCCCGCCAGAGGACCCCCAGACUCUUGUUUUAUACAGUAUCUUCUGGGUAACACGAUUAAAUAAAUCAAAACUUUCAACAACGGAUCUCUGGGUUCUG
Molecule: unclassified non-coding RNA, 197 nt
Filed under: plant metagenome
Description: partial contains small subunit ribosomal RNA, internal transcribed spacer 1, and 5.8S ribosomal RNA
Source: RNAcentral